AGAUUAAGUUAUUAAGGGCGCACGGUGGAUGCCUUGGCACUAGAAGCCGAUGAAGGACGUUACUAACGACGAUAUGCUUUGGGGAGCUGUAAGUAAGCUUUGAUCCAGAGAUUUCCGAAUGGGGAAACCCAGCAUGAGUUAUGUCAUGUUAUCGAUAUGUGAAUACAUAGCAUAUCAGAAGGCACACCCGGAGAACUGAAACAUCUUAGUACCCGGAGGAAGAGAAAGAAAAUUCGAUUCCCUUAGUAGCGGCGAGCGAAACGGGAAGAGCCCAAACCAACAAGCUUGCUUGUUGGGGUUGUAGGACACUCUAUACGGAGUUACAAAGGACGACAUUAGACGAAUCAUCUGGAAAGAUGAAUCAAAGAAGGUAAUAAUCCUGUAGUCGAAAAUGUUGUCUCUCUUGAGUGGAUCCUGAGUACGACGGAGCACGUGAAAUUCCGUCGGAAUCUGGGAGGACCAUCUCCUAAGGCUAAAUACUCUCUAGUGACCGAUAGUGAACCAGUACCGUGAGGGAAAGGUGAAAAGCACCCCGGAAGGGGAGUGAAAUAGAACCUGAAACCGUGUGCUUACAAGUAGUCAGAGCCCGUUAAUGGGUGAUGGCGUGCCUUUUGUAGAAUGAACCGGCGAGUUACGAUUUGAUGCAAGGUUAAGCAGUAAAUGUGGAGCCGUAGCGAAAGCGAGUCUGAAUAGGGCGUUUAGUAUUUGGUCGUAGACCCGAAACCAGGUGAUCUACCCUUGGUCAGGUUGAAGUUCAGGUAACACUGAAUGGAGGACCGAACCGACUUACGUUGAAAAGUGAGCGGAUGAACUGAGGGUAGCGGAGAAAUUCCAAUCGAACCUGGAGAUAGCUGGUUCUCUCCGAAAUAGCUUUAGGGCUAGCCUCAAGUGAUGAUUAUUGGAGGUAGAGCACUGUUUGGACGAGGGGCCCCUCUCGGGUUACCGAAUUCAGACAAACUCCGAAUGCCAAUUAAUUUAACUUGGGAGUCAGAACAUGGGUGAUAAGGUCCGUGUUCGAAAGGGAAACAGCCCAGACCACCAGCUAAGGUCCCAAAAUAUAUGUUAAGUGGAAAAGGAUGUGGCGUUGCCCAGACAACUAGGAUGUUGGCUUAGAAGCAGCCAUCAUUUAAAGAGUGCGUAAUAGCUCACUAGUCGAGUGACACUGCGCCGAAAAUGUACCGGGGCUAAACAUAUUACCGAAGCUGUGGAUUGUCCUUUGGACAAUGGUAGGAGAGCGUUCUAAGGGCGUUGAAGCAUGAUCGUAAGGACAUGUGGAGCGCUUAGAAGUGAGAAUGCCGGUGUGAGUAGCGAAAGACGGGUGAGAAUCCCGUCCACCGAUUGACUAAGGUUUCCAGAGGAAGGCUCGUCCGCUCUGGGUUAGUCGGGUCCUAAGCUGAGGCCGACAGGCGUAGGCGAUGGAUAACAGGUUGAUAUUCCUGUACCACCUAUAAUCGUUUUAAUCGAUGGGGGGGACGCAGUAGGAUAGGCGAAGCGUGCGAUUGGAUUGCACGUCUAAGCAGUAAGGCUGAGUAUUAGGCAAAUCCGGUACUCGUUAAGGCUGAGCUGUGAUGGGGAGAAGACAUUGUGUCUUCGAGUCGUUGAUUUCACACUGCCGAGAAAAGCCUCUAGAUAGAAAAUAGGUGCCCGUACCGCAAACCGACACAGGUAGUCAAGAUGAGAAUUCUAAGGUGAGCGAGCGAACUCUCGUUAAGGAACUCGGCAAAAUGACCCCGUAACUUCGGGAGAAGGGGUGCUCUUUAGGGUUAACGCCCAGAAGAGCCGCAGUGAAUAGGCCCAAGCGACUGUUUAUCAAAAACACAGGUCUCUGCUAAACCGUAAGGUGAUGUAUAGGGGCUGACGCCUGCCCGGUGCUGGAAGGUUAAGAGGAGUGGUUAGCUUCUGCGAAGCUACGAAUCGAAGCCCCAGUAAACGGCGGCCGUAACUAUAACGGUCCUAAGGUAGCGAAAUUCCUUGUCGGGUAAGUUCCGACCCGCACGAAAGGCGUAACGAUUUGGGCACUGUCUCAACGAGAGACUCGGUGAAAUCAUAGUACCUGUGAAGAUGCAGGUUACCCGCGACAGGACGGAAAGACCCCGUGGAGCUUUACUGUAGCCUGAUAUUGAAAUUCGGCACAGCUUGUACAGGAUAGGUAGGAGCCUUUGAAACGUGAGCGCUAGCUUACGUGGAGGCGCUGGUGGGAUACUACCCUAGCUGUGUUGGCUUUCUAACCCGCACCACUUAUCGUGGUGGGAGACAGUGUCAGGCGGGCAGUUUGACUGGGGCGGUCGCCUCCUAAAAGGUAACGGAGGCGCUCAAAGGUUCCCUCAGAAUGGUUGGAAAUCAUUCAUAGAGUGUAAAGGCAUAAGGGAGCUUGACUGCGAGACCUACAAGUCGAGCAGGGUCGAAAGACGGACUUAGUGAUCCGGUGGUUCCGCAUGGAAGGGCCAUCGCUCAACGGAUAAAAGCUACCCCGGGGAUAACAGGCUUAUCUCCCCCAAGAGUUCACAUCGACGGGGAGGUUUGGCACCUCGAUGUCGGCUCAUCGCAUCCUGGGGCUGUAGUCGGUCCCAAGGGUUGGGCUGUUCGCCCAUUAAAGCGGUACGCGAGCUGGGUUCAGAACGUCGUGAGACAGUUCGGUCCCUAUCCGUCGUGGGCGUAGGAAAUUUGAGAGGAGCUGUCCUUAGUACGAGAGGACCGGGAUGGACAUACCUCUGGUGUACCAGUUGUCGUGCCAACGGCAUAGCUGGGUAGCUAUGUGUGGACGGGAUAAGUGCUGAAAGCAUCUAAGCAUGAAGCCCCCCCUCAAGAUGAGAUUUCCCAACUUCGGUUAUAAGAUCCCUCAAAGAUGAUGAGGUUAAUAGGUUCGAGGUGGAAGCAUGGUGACAUGUGGAGCUGACGAAUACUAAUCGAUCGAAGACUUAAUCAAAUU
Molecule: ribosomal RNA, 2929 nt
Filed under: Staphylococcus aureus
Lineage: Bacteria; Bacillati; Bacillota; Bacilli; Caryophanales; Staphylococcaceae
Description: bacterial LSU rRNA
Rfam family: Bacterial large subunit ribosomal RNA
Source: RNAcentral